AAUGCAUUUAAUCAUCCUAAAAUGCCAAACUCAUAAGAUUUCAUCACCAAUAACCAAAACCGUCAUCAAAAAUCUGCAUAUACCUCAUAUACAUAUACUCCCAAUAAAAAUUUCACCAAUUUUGGAGUUAACCACAAGGAGUUAUAAGGGUUUACUUUUAAAAUAGUCUUUUCCCAUAAAAUUCAUAACUCAUAAUCUAUACAUCCAAAAAUCACCAUUUUUGGACAUAAUCAAGAAAACUCGUCAAAUUAUCAUUUCAAUUAUUUUCAAAAUUUUUGAAGGUUCGGAAGAAUUACGAAACUGAAAAAUAUAACAACCCUUAAAAUCUCUUACCUCAAAAGAGCAGUACUUCUGACUGAAAUAUCGGAUGAAAAGCCGAAGGAACCUUGCAGUGAAUAACAACUCUCAAAGUAUCUAAAUACUCACAAAAUACGCUCGAUAAUAUAGAGAGAGAAAGAGAGAAAACUUAUGAAUUCUGGUGUGAUUUUCAAUUCUAACUUAGCCCUCUAUUUAUAGGAAAAUGUUAGCACGCCGAAGCAGACUUGACCUGCUACCUGAUGGCUUUACCUGCUACUAUUGCCACCCACCACAUUUGAAAUAAAAUUCAGCACAUUUCUUCACCAACCACAAGUGGGGGCCCACUCAAUUCUAGAAUUUUUCACCAAAAUCAUUUAUAAACCUAAUUUUCAAAUCAGUCACUUCUUAAAAUUCAUAACAAAUUAUACGUUCAUUUUUAACGGUUCAAAAUUUGUGGACAUAUACUCAACUUAUAUAUGUAUAAUAUAUCCAAAAAUCACAACGAUCCAACGGUCAGAUUAAAAAUUAUAACCCACACAAUAUAGCUUUAAGAACACCGAUUUGAACUUUUAAUACCUCAAAUCCGAUAAAAUACUGAUAAAACACCUCAACGUUAAUUCCUUCAUUUAUAACCACAUAAAUAAAUCCAUCAUUUAUGUCCACAUCAAAUAAAUAUUUCCUUAUCAUAUAAAUCAAUAAUUAAUUAUUCACAAAUAAUAUUACAGAAUCACAAUAAUGACAACCAGGUAGUUCCCAGGAAAGAGGGGGCUUUUCGAUAAGAAUUUCUCUUUACUGGCGCGCAAUUAGAUGACCAAACCUCUCCUUUACAGAACUUUUUAGACAUUGCCAAUAAUGCUAUCUAAUAAUAUUAUUCAAAUAAUAUGAAUUAUUGAUCUGAUAAUGGGAAAUACUGUGCAGUAACAAUUAUUGAACAACAAUAAUAUAAAAUAUCAACGUAGCAAUUAUUGAAUCAAUAAAAUAAAAUAUUGAACAGUAAUUACUGUAACAAUUAUUAGGUAGUGUCUUCUUACGUAAAAAUCAAUAAUUCAAAAAUACUAUGCAAUACCGUGUGCUACUGUACAACCACGCGUAUUACUGUAUUUUAACCACCGGGUAUUCCAACACUGUUAACGGUAACAACUACGCCGUUAUUUAUAAAAACUCAAACUUGUCGUUAUCUUCAUCCGACAAUUAUUCUGUUAUGGGGCCCACAAAUGACUGCGCCGUCGUACGGAUAUUCCCGACAAAAAGAAUAUUCUACGACCAAACGAAUAUUCCCCGACAACAAUAAGUAUUUUUUAGCCACUUGCUUAUUUUGAAAAUUUUCAUAUGUCACCCUUAACUUUAACUUUUAUCAAUUUAACCAUUUACUGAAUUGAAAUUAUAAGAAAAAUUGAAUACUUUUAUUUCAUAAAAUUCGGGGUCUUACAAUCUCCACUCCUUAUGAAAUUUCGUCCCCGAAAUUUACGUACCUGGUAUUUCAAAGAGUUAAGAAUACCUUACUGUCAUUUUCGAUUCCAUCUUCCAUGUCAUCAUGAUUCUCCAUUGCUCAACUCCUAUAUUUCAGAUAUCAUUCUAAAAUACAGCUUCAAAAUAAGCGUUAAUUGAACAAAUUAACAUAUUACAUAAUAUUUCGAUAUUAUGACUGACCAACAAAUAAGCUUAGGUAGGACACACUAGCGAAUGAUUUACUCAUCUCUCCCCUCCUAGUUCUAUUCUCCGAUCUCCGCCAGAGAUCAUAUCCCUAAGCUCUGAUACCAACGGUAACUCAAGACACCAACUUGUGUCAGCACCUCACAUUGAUACCUAUCAGUUUGCCACUGCAGAACGGCGUCCCCUACGAAAGUCUGGCUUCGGUGCAUCUCCCAUCAACAGGGAGUCACCAGCGAGAGGCUCGGGGCUCUUUACUUAUAGAUCUGAUACCAACUGUAGCGCCCCCAAAAUAGGUCCAUUCCACCCAACCUAUUCUGAGUCGCCAAAUACAUGGUACAGAAAACAACUACAACUUUAUUACAACAAUUGUCGUACAAAAUACAACAACACAUAUGCUGUGAGUUUGGAUACAAAUAUAUACCAACUGUGACUCGUGUCCCAACCGUAAUGUGAGAAAUGUCCCAUCAGUGGACAGCACCUCACAGUGAUACCUACAUAAAGGUAUAGUCAAAAAAUGUUUUAAAAAUUAGAAUCUUUGGGAAGUGCUCAAGGAAACCUUCGUACAUGGGAGGCCAUGCUUCCAGGUUAUGAUAGAUAUCAUAUGUCCACAGAAUUAUCCUUGGUUGACCUAAUAGACCCCAAAGAAAAACAAGAAGAUUACUAUCAUAUUUUUUCCAAUGGUGAGUCUUCUCUUGACAUAUCAUUAUCUCCACUGUCUCUAAUCGUGAAUUAUACUUCAAACAAACACCAAGAUUAUAUAGGUAGUGCUCGUAAAUAUACUCAGUAAGUGGAUGUGCACAACCCUAUCUUAUAAUGACACGAGGUUGUAUGACAUUAUACAUCUUGUAUGAUAGUGGCAAAACACCCUUCCAACGUUGGGUUCACCUCACCCUAUUGGAUUUAUCAAAUAUAACUACUAAAUGAUGACCACCGUUCUAUUCCCCUGUUACCCCCGCUAGACCCAGCUACAAUCGUAUUACCUGAAAGGAAUUUUGAAACAGAAGGGUGAGCACAACUAGCUCAGUAAAGAAUAUCAUGACUAAAAAUAAAUAAAUUAUCAAUAGCCUUCAAUAGUAAUAAAUCAGAGAUUUAGAACAUAUGGUAGAUGAUAAAACUUUUCAACCAUAGUUGCAGCGGAACGAGCAAUCCAUUAGAAGAGUCAAAUAGACCAUAAAGUCUAUUAUCUUCUCCAUGUUAAAAGUCCACCAACAAUGUUUUAUCCCUGUAACAUCAAUCAACAGUUCCUGUCCACAAUCAUAUGAAUAACUCAUAAUCAUAAUUGUGAUUCUAAAUUCCUCUUCGCAUCCAGGACGAAGAUAAUUUUCAUCACAUGUCUUUACCUGAAACAUCAAAGAUCAUGGUUAUACCAAAUCACAGUUCCUGUUCAUAAUCAUACUAAUAAAUUCAUCUUUGCACUACGGGCCAAAGAUAUUCAUCAACAGUUCAUCUUUGCACUACAGGCCAAAGAUAUUCAACAACAGGUCAUCUUUGCACUACGGGCCAAAGAUAUUCAUCAACAAUUCAUCUUUGCACUACAGGCCAAAGAUAUUCCUCAACAGUUCAUAUUUGCAUUACAGGCCAAAUAUAUUAAUAUCUCAAAGAAAUAUAUAAUCAUUUCAGAAUUUAUAUAAACAAUAAUUAUAACCAUGUUGAUCAAUUCACCUUUGCACUUAAGCUAAAGAUAUUCAAUUAUAAAUUCAAUGGUCAUGAUCAUACCAGUCACAAUUCAACUUUUCACUACUGGCCAAAGAGAACCCUAGUCAUGAUCAUACCAAUAAUCUACCCAUCUUUACACUCCAGUGAAAGAGAAUUUCAACAUCAGGGUUAUAAAAAUGUUAUAUAUGAUAAUAAAAUCAAUAUAAUCAAUAUAUAGUUUUAAUCUCCAGAGUAAUAUUCAUAAAUCAACUAUAAUUUGGUUAGAAAAAGAAACCAAUUUUGUAGUGAAUAGUACCCGUGAAUAGUAACUCGUGAAUAGUAACUCGUGAAUAGUAACUCAUGAAUAGUAACCCUGACACAAAAAGGUAGAAAUUCCACAAUAAAAUCCAUACCAAUAUUUCGGUAUAAUGAUAUUGAAAGAAUAACAUUUCUUAAACUUAUAAACAAUUUAUUUUAAUUGUUUACACUUUACUAAAUAAUGCAUUUAAUCAUCAUAAAAUGCCAAACUUAUAAGAUUUCAUCACCAAUAACCAAAACCCUCAUCAAAAAUCUGCAUAUACCACAUAUAUGAUUCUCAAGCCAUAAAAUCAUAUUUUCCAAUUUUCUUCCUUCACAUAACAUAUUUAACUCAUUUAUUCAUAACUAGUCCAUUUUCAUGAAAAAUACCAAAUCAGUUCCAAAAAUAUUUCUUUUCUGGGAUUUAGCAGAAUAUAGUCCCAUAUUGAACAUAUAUUUUUCUUAGAAUUUUUAAAAUUCAUUUACUAUUUUUCAUAUGGCCAAAACCGCCGAAUAUUUAGACAUUUAUCAUAAAUUGUACUUUUAUCCAAAAAUUCCGAAAUUCACAGAGUACACUGAUAUUAUAUAGAUGUACUCCCAAUAAAAAUUUCAUCAAUUUUGGAGUUAACCACAAGGAGUUAUAAGCGGUUACUUUUAAAAUAGUCUUUUCUCAUAAAAUUCAUAACUCUUAAUCUAUACAUCCAAAAAUCACCAUUUUUGGACACAAUCAAUAAAACUCAUCAACAUAUCAUUUCAAAUUUUUCCAGAAUUUUCUGAAGGUCAGAAGAAGUACGAACUGAAAAACAUAAUAACCCUUAAAAUCCCUUACUAUCCCUUACCUCAAAAGAGCAGCACUUCUGACUGGAUAUCGGAUAUGACGCUGAAGGAAACUUGCACUGAUGAAUAUCAACUCACCAAGUAUCUAAAUACUCACAAAAUACACUCAAUAAUCUAGAGAGAGAAAGAGAGAAAGCUUAUGUUUCUGGUGUGAUUUUCAAUUCUAACUUAGCCCUCUAUUUAUAGGAAAAUUUUAGCAGACUUGACCUGCAACCUGAUGGCUUUACCUGCUACUAUUCCCACCCACCACAUUUGAAAUAAAAUUCAGCACAUUUCUUCACCAACCACAAGUGGGGCCCACUCAAUUCUAGAAUUUUCCACCAAAAUGCUAAAUUCGGAUACUUCAACAAUUUCUGAAUCAGUCACCUCUUAAAAUUCAUAACAAAUCAUACGUUCAUUUUUAACGGUUCAAAAUUUGUGGACAUAUACUCAACUUAUAUAUGUAUAACAUAUCCAAAAAUCACAACGAUCCAACGGUCGGUUAAAAAUUAUAACUCACGCAAUAGAGCUUUAAGAACACCGAUUUGAUCUUUUAAUACCUCCAAUCUGACAAAAUACUGAUAAAACACCUCAACAUUAAUUCCUUCAUUUAUAACCACAUAAAUAAAUCCAUCAUUUAUGUCCACAUCAAAUAAAUAUUUCCUUAUCAUAUAAAUCAAUAAUUAAUUAUUCACAAAUAAUAUUACAGAAUCACAAUAAUGACAACCAGGUAGUUCCCAGGAAAGAGGGGGCUUUUCGAUAAGAAUUUCUCUUUACUGGCGCGCAAUUAGAUGACCAAACCUCUCCUUUACAGAACUUUUUAGACAUUGCCAAUAAUGCUAUCUAAUAAUAUUAUUCAAAUAAUAUGAAUUAUUGAUCUGAUAAUGGGAAAUACUGUGCAGUAACAAUUAUUGAACAACAAUAAUAUAAAAUAUCAACGUAGCAAUUAUUGAAUCAAUAAAAUAAAAUAUUGAACAGUAAUUACUGUAACAAUUAUUAGGUAGUGUCUUCUUACGUAAAAAUCAAUAAUUCAAAAAUACUAUGCAAUACCGUGUGCUACUGUACAACCACGCGUAUUACUGUAUUUUAACCACCGGGUAUUCCAACACUGUUAACGGUAACAACUACGCCGUUAUUUAUAAAAACUCAAACUUGUCGUUAUCUUCAUCCGACAAUUAUUCUGUUAUGGGGCCCACAAAUGACUGCGCCGUCGUACGGAUAUUCCCGACAAAAAGAAUAUUCUACGACCAAACGAAUAUUCCCCAACAACAAUAAGUAUUUUUUAGCCACUUGCUUAUUUUGAAAAUUUUCAUAUGUCACCCUUAACUUUAACUUUUAUCAAUUUAACCAUUUACUGAAUUGUAAUUAUAAAAAAAAUUGAAUACUUUUAUUUCAUAAAAUUCUGGGUCUUACAGUAGUAAUUUUAGGAGAUAAUAAUUAAAUUUAAAAGAAUAAUAUCAGAACAGUUGACAUUACUAAAAUAAUUUAGAUUUGUAGUGAUUUAGGGAAUUAUAAAUUCAAAAUAUUAAUUUGAGAAUAAAAAAGUAAUGAUUUUAGGAGAUAAUAUUAAAUUAGUAAUGAUAAUAUUAGAACAGUUAACAUUAUCAGAACAAUUUAGAUUUGUAGUGAUUUAUGAGAGUAUAAAAUUAAAAUAUUA
RNAcentral lists this long non-coding RNA (6355 nucleotides) under Panax ginseng (ginseng). Its description in RNAcentral is "long non-coding RNA (PGIN_LNC012597)". Lineage: Eukaryota; Viridiplantae; Streptophyta; Magnoliopsida; Apiales; Araliaceae. The record is from RNAcentral.